RNAcentral lists this ribosomal RNA (654 nucleotides) under uncultured marine microorganism. RNAcentral's name for it is "bacterial SSU rRNA". It matches the Rfam family "Bacterial small subunit ribosomal RNA", at positions 99 to 795 of the family's 1533-position model. The record is from RNAcentral.
CGGACGGGUGAGUAACGCGUGAGGAUCUACCUCUAGGAAAGGAAUACAUAAAAUUAAAUCCUUAUAUGCUUUACAGUGAAAAAAGAAAUUUGCCUAGAGAUGAACUCGCGUCUGAUUAGUUAGUUGGUGGGGUAAUGGCUUACCAAGACGAUGAUCAGUAGCUGGUUUGAGAGGAUGAUCAGCCACAUUGGAACUGAGACACGGUCCAAACUCCUACGGGAGGCAGCAGUGGGGAAUUUUCUGCAAUGGGCGCAAGCCUGACAGAGCAAUGCCGCGUGAGGGAUGACGGCCUUUGGGUUGUAAACCUCUUUUUUCAAGGAGGAAGUUCUGACGUGUACUUGAAGAAUAAGCAUCGGCUAACUCCGUGCCAGCAGCCGCGGUAAGACAGGGGAUGCAAGUGUUAUCCGGAAUUAUUGGGCGUAAAGCGUCUGUAGGUGGUUUAACCAGUCUAUUGUUAAAGCUUGAAACUUAACUUCAGAGAUGCAGUAGAAACUAUUAAACUAGAGUAUAAUUGAGGUAGAAGGAAUUUCCAGUGGAGUGGUGAAAUGCGUAGAUAUUGGAAAGAACACCAAUUGCGAAGGCAUUCUAUUAAAUUAUUCUGACACUCAGAGACGAAAGCUAGGGUAGCAAAAGGGAUUAGAUACCCCAGUAGUC